AUGCUUCACACAGGUACACCUGUCUGUCUGUUUCCUGUCUGUCUGUUCACCUGUCCAUCUGUGUGUCUGUGUUACCAUCUGAUUACCUGUCUGUCUGUCUUUGUGUCUGUUUGCUCACCUGUCUGUCUGUUCAUCUGUUUGUCCCUGUGUCCUUCAGCUUCAGGUGGCUCCGCCCACACAGACCUGGUUACAAUGGCAGCAGACUCCACAGGUACAGACUCAGGUCAUCCAGCUAUGACAGAUCACACACAGAUGGCUGGUUCAGUCACUGAACAGUACAACCCAUCUGGUCAGGGUCCUGAAGGUGCAGAAAAUGUGGAACUGGAGGAUACCUGCUGACUUCCACAUCAAGCCGCGAGUUAGAUUCCUGCGCUACAGAUUCCAGUGUACCGACCAAUCAGUAUGGCCCAGGAAAUCAAACCCCUCCCACUAGCUACUAGCCCCGCCGACUCUGUUGUUUUCAAUAUUUAAGGUUUUUUUUAUAGAAGUUUAUUUUGUUUUAGAGAAUCGCUGUAAGUGGAAAUUAAUAAAAAGAGUCAGCCGAACCUCCACCAACCAUGGCCGAUUCUGUUUUGAUGACAUCAUACAGGAUGUGACAUCAUCGUCACUGUCAGGAUUUUAAAUUUCUACAAUAAAUGUUUGGGUUUUCUUUUUCUAUUUUGAACAUCAAACUGAGGAUUCGUCUUUUGUCUGGACUGAUCAGUUCUUCAUCAACAACCUGAUGAGAUCAUCAUCAUCAGGUUGUUUAUGUCAAUAAGAUUAAAUCAUUUUUAAAAAAAAAUUGUUUUUACUUCAUUUGAUGAGAUAAGCUGCAUUUGAAGAACAUUAAAUAUAAAUCUGCAUGAGAGGUGACUUCUUGAAACAGAACAGAAAGUUUGGUUUUUACCUGAAACACUUUGUGGAAACACUCGUCGUCUCUUCUCAAAUCAUUUUCUAAUAAAUAAAUGUUCAUUCAGUGAUGAACUAUUAUUUAAAAUCCAGACGAAAUAUAAACUCAAUAUAAACAGGUUUCUUUUUAAUUUUCUGGAAUAAUUUUGUUUUUGUUAUCGAUGAACAUCUUAUUUUGUCCUGUUUGAAGAUGUUGAAGAAAACACAACUCACCACUGCGUAUUUCUAAUUUAUUAAUUUUAUUUGUUUUAUUUAAUAUUCAUAAAUGCAGAUUUACAUGUAAAAAGCUUCUCAAACAGAAUUCUGACUCUCGUCAAUUAAAAACUAUUAACAUGUCAUUUUUAUAUAAAAUCUUUAUGUCUUGUGUCUCCUCUGUAAACCAUCGUCACCUACAUGUAUUCCCAUCGUUGUUUGUUACACAGUACAUGUACAAUUAUGUGAGUAGGUUCUUAAACACUUGAACUUAUGUUCUGAAGUCAGAUCUUUGUUUGAACUCCUCGUCUGUCAGCUAGAUGAAACUGAUGAGUAAACACAGUUAACGACAGGCUUUUAUGCUGAAGGGCUUCCUGUUUGGAGGGAAGUGAAGCCGAUGAAUCUGUUCUGAAAAAAAGCUGAGUGGCUAAAAUGGAGGUAAGGAUGUCAAAACAACCGAUGAGUCCACAUAUAUAUAUUGAUCAUCUGUCAAUCAAGUUAAAGGAAGAACUUUGUUUUUCAUGAGAACGACUGCUGCUUUUACACCUUCAGUACAACCACCACAGAAUUAACAUUAUUUCCAUAGUGAGGAGCAGACCGACUGAUUCUGGACCCGGUCACUCACCAAACAUGAACAAUAAGACCAUUUUUAUUUUUGGUCUUUUGAGGUCAAAAUUUUAACGUUCAUUCACAAGCAUUAACUCUGUUUCCGUGGCAACACGUGAGGGUGGGACCAGAAACUGAAACAGUAAUCACAACCCCAUCAGACUCACAUGUAAUGGAGUCGCUGUUCACGGCUCCACAAAACAGGACGAACCUCAGCAACAGGACAUCAACUGGACCUCUCAGCUCAGCUGUUAGCCAGAAAGCUAACGUUAUGCUAGCAGUAAAUAUCAUGUGACAGGAAGUUUAACAACAACACAAGCUGACAGUCAUGUGACCGUCCUCAGAUCAAUAAGAAGAUCACAACAGGUGAUUGUCAAUGUUAUUGUGGCUCAGACUGAAGCAGAGAGCUGAACUGCCAAUCAGAUGCAAGAUCAUGUCAGCUGGUGUGUCACAGUGCCAUCCUGACUAAUAAUCUGAUUGAUCACCUGAUCGACUAUCUGAUUGAUCACCUAAUUGUUGGAUCUUAACGAGAGACAAGCGCAAACACACCGAUGAACAUGUUUAUUGUGGAUCAAUAUUGACUGAAUAGAUCAAAUCAAUGCAUCUCUUUCUGCUUCCAGGUCGUCUCCACGGUAACAGGGGUCACUCAUAAUAAACCUUUCUAAAGAUAGUGAUCAUCUCUUUGUUUUUCUAACGUUACACCUGAACACAAAGACAACCAAUCAACAUGCAGAACCCAGAGAACACCUGCUGACCUCUGAUUGGUUCUCUGAGUGUCAAACAAACAUUUUAAAUAAAGUAGCGAAUAACAACAAACAAAGCUAAAAUAAAGUGGUAGAAGAGGACACGGGUAUAUAAACUGGUUAAUAUUGAUCAAAAAUAAAAACAUGACCUAUUGAUUGAUCUACAGCUGAUCGAUUGAUUUCAUAUUGCUGCUGCUGAGUCAGCGCUCAGACUGUCCUGUUGCUAUGGUGACUGAUU
RNAcentral lists this long non-coding RNA (2667 nucleotides) under Sparus aurata (gilthead seabream). RNAcentral describes it as "lncRNA (ENSSAUG00010006376.1)". The record is from RNAcentral. Lineage: Eukaryota; Metazoa; Chordata; Actinopteri; Spariformes; Sparidae.